RNAcentral lists this ribosomal RNA (372 nucleotides) under uncultured organism. RNAcentral describes it as "partial 16S ribosomal RNA". It matches the Rfam family "Bacterial small subunit ribosomal RNA", at positions 527 to 896 of the family's 1533-position model. The record is from RNAcentral.
GUAGGUGGCAAGCGUUGUCCGGAAUUAUUGGGCGUAAAGCGCGCGCAGGCGGUUCUUUAAGUCUGAUGUGAAAGCCCACGGGCUCAACCGUGGAGGGUCAUUGGAAACUGGAGAACUUGAGUACAGAAGAGGAAAGCGGAAUUCCACGUGUAGCGGUGAAAUGCGUAGAGAUGUGGAGGAACACCAGCGGCGAAGGCGGCUUUCUGGUCUGUAACUGACGCUGAGGCGCGAAAGCGUGGGGAGCAAACAGGAUUAGAUACCCUGGUAGUCCACGCCGUAAACGAUGAGUGCUAAGUAUUAGGGGGUUUCCGCCCCUUAGUGCUGCAGCUAACGCAUUAAGCACUCCGCCUGGGGAGUACGGCCGCAAGGCUG